RNAcentral lists this ribosomal RNA (453 nucleotides) under uncultured bacterium. RNAcentral describes it as "bacterial SSU rRNA". It matches the Rfam family "Bacterial small subunit ribosomal RNA", at positions 29 to 524 of the family's 1533-position model. The record is from RNAcentral.
AACGAACGCUGGCGGCAGGCUUAACACAUGCAAGUCGAACGCUCGUAGCAAUACGGGAGUGGCGGACGGGUGAGUAACGCGUGGGAACGUGCCCUGAGGUACGGAAUAACUGAGGGAAACUUCAGCUAAUACCGUAUGAGCCCCGAGAGGGGAAAGAUUUAUCGCCUUGGGAGCGGCCCGCGUCGGAUUAGCUAGUUGGUGGGGUAACGGCCUACCAAGGCUUCGAUCCGUAGCUGGUCUGAGAGGACGAUCAGCCACACUGGGACUGAGACACGGCCCAGACUCCUACGGGAGGCAGCAGUGGGGAAUCUUGCGCAAUGGGGGCAACCCUGACGCAGCCAUGCCGCGUGAACGAUGAAGGCCUUAGGGUUGUAAAGUUCUUUUACCCGUGACGAUGAUGACGGUAACGGGGGAAUAAGCUCCGGCUAACUUCGUGCCAGCAGCCGCGGUAAU